RNAcentral lists this long non-coding RNA (438 nucleotides) under Elaeis guineensis (African oil palm). RNAcentral's name for it is "long non-coding RNA (EGUI_LNC004498)". The record is from RNAcentral. Lineage: Eukaryota; Viridiplantae; Streptophyta; Magnoliopsida; Arecales; Arecaceae.
CCAAUCUCACUUUAAUAUCUUCAGGAGUGUUAUCAAUGAGAAAAAAUUGAUCACAUUUAUAGAGUCACUCCUUCACAUUAUCACCAUUAAAAUAAAAAAAAUCCACUUUAGAAAGUCCGAUAGAGUAAGAAUAAGAGGACCCUGAAGUAUGAGCAGAGUUACCAAAAGAAUGAAAGUGGAAAUCACCCUCAAGAUUUUCUUUGGCAUUUCGUCGAGCAUUUGGUGUGCCCUCGAGGUUAGCAUUUGAUCCAUUGUCAGAGCUUCCCUCCUUAUCCUUGUUAUGAGAAAUAUCAAGGAUAAGCUCCUUCAUAGUCCCAAACAUUUGUUUCAACUUCUCAUCCAUGACGGUAAUUCGCUUGUUCAAAGCUUCUUCAACCUCUUUAAUGGCGAUAUUGUGUCGAGUUCUUUCAGCCAUUGCGAAAUCCGCGGUCAAGAAUU